RNAcentral lists this ribosomal RNA (599 nucleotides) under uncultured proteobacterium clone MT14. RNAcentral describes it as "bacterial SSU rRNA". It matches the Rfam family "Bacterial small subunit ribosomal RNA", at positions 28 to 622 of the family's 1533-position model. The record is from RNAcentral. Lineage: Bacteria; Pseudomonadati; Pseudomonadota.
AUUGAACGCUGGCGGCAUGCCUUACACAUGCAAGUCGAACGGCAGCACGGGAGCAAUCCUGGUGGCGAGUGGCGAACGGGUGAGUAAUAUAUCGGAACGUGCCCAGUAGUGGGGGAUAGCCCGGCGAAAGCCGGAUUAAUACCGCAUACGACCUGAGGGUGAAAGCGGGGGAUCGCAAGACCUCGCGCUACUGGAGCGGCCGAUAUCAGAUUAGCUAGUUGGUGGGGUAAAGGCCUACCAAGGCAACGAUCUGUAGUUGGUCUGAGAGGACGACCAGCCACACUGGGACUGAGACACGGCCCAGACUCCUACGGGAGGCAGCAGUGGGGAAUUUUGGACAAUGGGCGCAAGCCUGAUCCAGCAAUGCCGCGUGCAGGAAGAAGGCCUUCGGGUUGUAAACUGCUUUUGUCAGGGAAGAAAUCUUCUGGGCUAAUACCCCGGGAGGAUGACGGUACCUGAAGAAUAAGCACCGGCUAACUACGUGCCAGCAGCCGCGGUAAUACGUAGGGUGCGAGCGUUAAUCGGAAUUACUGGGCGUAAAGCGUGCGCAGGCGGCUUUGCAAGACAGAGGUGAAAUCCCCGGGCUCAACCUGGGAACU